UACGAAGGGAGCUAGCGUUGUUCGGAAUCACUGGGCGUAAAGCGCACGUCGGCGGAUUUGCCAGUCAGGGGUGAAAUCCCGGGGCUCAACCUCGGAACUGCCUUUGAUACAGCAAGUCUUGAGUUCGAGAGAGGUGGGUGGAAUUCCUAGUGUAGAGGUGAAAUUCGUAGAUAUUAGGAAGAACACCGGUGGCGAAGGCGGCCCACUGGCUCGACACUGACGCUGAGGUGCGAAAGCGUGGGGAGCAAACAGG
Molecule: ribosomal RNA, 253 nt
Filed under: uncultured bacterium
Lineage: Bacteria
Description: partial 16S ribosomal RNA
Rfam family: Bacterial small subunit ribosomal RNA
Source: RNAcentral